RNAcentral lists this ribosomal RNA (1303 nucleotides) under Listeria monocytogenes. RNAcentral's name for it is "partial 23S ribosomal RNA". It matches the Rfam family "Bacterial large subunit ribosomal RNA", at positions 1 to 1296 of the family's 2925-position model. The record is from RNAcentral. Lineage: Bacteria; Bacillati; Bacillota; Bacilli; Caryophanales; Listeriaceae.
UUGGUUAAGUUAGAAAGGGCGCACGGUGGAUGCCUUGGCACUAGGAGCCGAAGAAGGACGGGACUAACACCGAUAUGCUUUGGGGAGCUGUACGUAAGCGUUGAUCCAGAGAUUUCCGAAUGGGGGAACCCACUAUCUUUAGUCGGAUAGUAUCCUUACGUGAAUACAUAGCGUGAGGAAGGCAGACCCAGGGAACUGAAACAUCUAAGUACCUGGAGGAAGAGAAAGAAAAAUCGAUUUCCUGAGUAGCGGCGAGCGAAACGGAAAGAGCCCAAACCAAGAAGCUUGCUUCUUGGGGUUGUAGGACACUCUAUACGGAGUUACAAAAGAAAGUUAUAAAUGAAGCGGUCUGGAAAGGCCCGCCAAAGACGGUAACAGCCCGGUAGUUGAAAUGGCUUUCCCUCCAGAGUGGAUCCUGAGUACGGCGGAACACGUGAAAUUCCGUCGGAAUCCGGGAGGACCAUCUCCCAAGGCUAAAUACUCCCUAGUGACCGAUAGUGAACCAGUACCGUGAGGGAAAGGUGAAAAGCACCCCGGAAGGGGAGUGAAACAGUUCCUGAAACCGUGUGCCUACAAGUAGUUAGAGCCCGUUAAUGGGUGAUAGCGUGCCUUUUGUAGAAUGAACCGGCGAGUUACGAUUUGUUGCAAGGUUAAGCGGAAAAAGCGGAGCCGUAGCGAAAGCGAGUCUGAAUAGGGCGCAUAAGUAACAGGUCGUAGACCCGAAACCAGGUGAUCUACCCAUGUCCAGGAUGAAGGUAAGGUAAUACUUACUGGAGGUCCGAACCCACGCACGUUGAAAAGUGCGGGGAUGAGGUGUGGGUAGCGGAGAAAUUCCAAUCGAACUUGGAGAUAGCUGGUUCUCUCCGAAAUAGCUUUAGGGCUAGCCUCGAGGUAAAGAGUCAUGGAGGUAGAGCACUGUUUGGACUAGGGGCCCUUCUCGGGUUACCGAAUUCAGAUAAACUCCGAAUGCCAUGUACUUAUACUCGGGAGUCAGACUGCGAGUGAUAAGAUCCGUAGUCGAAAGGGAAACAGCCCAGACCACCAGUUAAGGUCCCCAAAUAUAUGUUAAGUGGAAAAGGAUGUGGGGUUGCUUAGACAACCAGGAUGUUGGCUUAGAAGCAGCCACCAUUGAAAGAGUGCGUAAUAGCUCACUGGUCGAGUGACCCCGCGCCGAAAAUGUACCGGGGCUAAACAUAUUACCGAAACUGUGGAUGAACCUCUUUAGAGGUUCGUGGUAGGAGAGCGUUCUAAGGGCGGUGAAGUCAGACCGGAAGGACUGGUGGAGCGCUUAGAAGUGAGAAUG